Molecule: ribosomal RNA, 253 nt
Filed under: uncultured bacterium
Lineage: Bacteria
Description: partial 16S ribosomal RNA
Rfam family: Bacterial small subunit ribosomal RNA
Source: RNAcentral
CACGUAGGGCGCAAGCGUUGUCCGGAAUUAUUGGGCGUAAAGAGCUCGUAGGUGGUCUGUUGCGUCCGCUGUGAAAACUCGGGGCUUAACCCCGAGCCUGCAGUGGAUACGGGCAGACUAGAGGUAGGUAGGGGAGAAUGGAAUUCCUGGUGUAGCGGUGAAAUGCGCAGAUAUCAGGAGGAACACCGGUGGCGAAGGCGGUUCUCUGGGCCUUACCUGACACUGAGGAGCGAAAGCGUGGAGAGCGAACAGG